CUCGCACAGCUACAGUGGUCGGUCACCAUGCACGUCUCGCAUGCUCGGCUAUAGUGGCCGGCCGCUGGGUCAUCGAUGGGACCCAACGGCAACCACCCCUCCUCGGUGGCCCUACUGACAAGACACAGAAAUCAGGAAGGAAGGUGGCAACCCUAGGGGCUCGGCCUAUGUCCCUGUGCUUUACCUUCCUUGCUUACCUUUUUUACUUCCCUUUACUCCCGGCUCGAUUGUAACUCAUGUGUCCUCCUUAUGCUAUAAAAGGAAGACCAGGGGGCCUGACAAAGGGACGGCCCUCGAGUGAACCGAACAACCUCCAACUCAC
RNAcentral lists this long non-coding RNA (322 nucleotides) under Setaria viridis. RNAcentral describes it as "long non-coding RNA (SVIR_LNC004553)". The record is from RNAcentral. Lineage: Eukaryota; Viridiplantae; Streptophyta; Magnoliopsida; Poales; Poaceae.